UACAGAGGCCUCGAGCGUUGUUCGGAAUUACUGGGCGUAAAGGGAAUGUAGGCGGUUGCGUAAGUCAGAUGUGAAAGCCCUGGGCUUAACCCGGGAAUGGCAUUUGAUACUGCGUAACUGGAGUGCGAGAGAGGAAAGCGGAAUUCCUGGUGUAGGGGUGAAAUCCGUAGAUAUCAGGAGGAAUACCGAUGGCGAAGGCAGCUUUCUGGCUCGUUACUGACGCUGAGAUUCGAAAGCAUGGGUAGCAAAC
Molecule: ribosomal RNA, 250 nt
Filed under: uncultured bacterium
Lineage: Bacteria
Description: partial 16S ribosomal RNA
Rfam family: Bacterial small subunit ribosomal RNA
Source: RNAcentral